Molecule: non-coding RNA, 4278 nt
Organism: Cricetulus griseus (Chinese hamster)
Lineage: Eukaryota; Metazoa; Chordata; Mammalia; Rodentia; Cricetidae
Source: RefSeq, a predicted model, not a curated record
CCUGGUCUACAGAAAGAGUUGCAGGACACUCAGGACUGUUACACAGAGAAAUCUGGUCUUGAAAUCCCCCCACCCCAAAAAUACACACAGGAACAAAAGAAACUCCUAGUAAACAAUGAUAAAGAAGAUACAAUAAAAUUGGACAGACAGUUUGUCUGUUAGUUAGGAUAAAUUAAACAGAGAUAAAGUAAUCGUAAAAAAAGAACUACCCGAAAGAUUUAUAAGGGAAAAAUUCAGCUGAUGUGGACGGAAAAAAAUUAAAAAGCAGGAAGAUGUCACAGCUGAAAUGACCAAGUAGGGAAAAACACUGACACAAAGACCGGCUACUGUAACAAUAAACAAAGGCUGAUUAAAGGGGGGGGGGGUUAAGGGUCUGGAGAGAUGGCUCAGUAGCUAAGAGUGCGGUUGCUCUUCCAGAGGAUGAGGUUUUAUUUCUAGUCUCCACAUGGUGGAUCGCAACCAUCUCUAGCUCCAGUUCCAACGUGUCUAACACCCUCUUCUGGCCUCCAAGGGCACCAGGCACACAAGUGGUGCAUAGACAUACAAGAAAGCAAAAUACCCAUACACAUAAAACUUUUAAAAAUAAAUUUUAAAAAAUAUAUAUGGAAACAUGGUCCUUCUAAGAAAACAUGCAUCUGCAUUACUUUUUUGUGUUUCAGAAGGAAAGAGGAUGGAUAUAACACCAUAGACAGGCAUAUCCAAGGGGCCUUAAUAGAUUUGGAUCAACAAAUCAUUGUGUAUCACAUUACAUCCACCUGGCAAAACUCUGAGACAAAGGAAAUUCUAAAAACACAAAGAAGGAAGUCUAAAGUUGCUUAUAAAUGAACACCUAUUACAGGAACUUUACAUACUAGCCAUUACAAUGAUUUCAAAUCCAGGCAUGGACACAUCCAAAUGAUAGAUCCAAUACCCCCAACAACUAAAGAUUUAAAUAAUCUCCACAGAAUAGAACAUGGAGCAGACGAGGACAUCGCUAUUACAAAAAUAUGAUUAUGUGAGAUUCAUACCAGAGACACAGCACGAAACACUCUGUACACACAGUUAAGAAUAAAACAAAGCAAAACCCAUGCAUACUUAGUACUCCAGAGACCAGGCUAGGAGGUGCCAGUCACCGGUCUGCUAUGCAGUUAGCAGGUAAAGAUCGGGAGAAGGAAGCAAGCUCACUGGAACACACUUCGUGCAGGUACUGAAGUGUCAUCUAUCUCUGCUGCUACUGAAAGGAUCUGAGAAGCUCUGCUCUGAACUGUGUUCCCCGCAAGAGGCUCUUCCUCAACAGAGGAUCCAUGUGAAAAGGCCAGAAAGACACCUCUGCCCUCCUGGAGCUAAAGCACCGUCUUUCCUCCUUGAGACUUUCCCUCCCCCAUGGCGUCAGAGGGCUGGGGAACUGAUAAGUACAUGCAGUAACCGGAUUUUCAACAAAGGUUUUAGAACUCACAUUCAGAAAGAAGCUGUCAUGAAUUUUUCAAACAUGGAUAUUUACAUGCUAUGAGAAGGGACUGGACCCCUUUCAUGCCAUAUACAGAAAUCAAAUAAAAAUGGAUCAUAGAAUCGUAAAACUCAGGAUAAUGAUGAAGAUACUCUUAAUUUAUGCCAAUCCAGCCACCACAGGUAAAGUCAGCAAAUGAGAUUACACCAGACUAAAUGUCAUGACUAGUACAUGCUUAGGAUGAGAAAAUACUAGCAAAUUAUUUAUUCAGCAAGCGAUCAUUUAAUUUCUAGACUAUAUAAGGAUAUCAUCCACUCAAUACAAAAGGAAAAGAUCUCAUUAAAUCUAGGCAAAUAGCCCAAAUUUAUAUUUCCCAAGCAUGACAUACAAAUAUGUUUAUAAGUAAAAAUGAAAGAUUUUCCCAAAAUGACUUGUUACUGAACUAUAUAUAGAAUGUACUUUUAAGGCCUGAAAUAAAAAAUGCUAAGAAACUUACACAAACAGGCAGUAGCAAUACAUAUUAGAGCAACCACUUGAAAAUUCAGUGUGAUGGACCCAGAAUGACAUCAACACUGCCCCACUGUUGGCUGUAUACAGUCAAAGGAAGUGACACUGGUGUCCCAGGGAAGUCUGCACAUAAGUGUUCUUCAACAAAGGAGCAUAAGUAGAGAAAUGGGGCAAAUAUAAAUUUACAAUAACAGAACAUUGUGUCAUAGUGACAGGCAUUCGGGGAAUUGUUAAUUCUGUAGUAUGGUUAGUAUUCUGGGCUUGAAAUGAUUGGCACCGUCUUCCAACACAGGAUGGUCUUGGCACAAAGUCAUGGCAAUAGAAUGAAGAAAAUUACACAGCAGAUCUCUAGGGCUCUGGAUGGUAACAGGACUGGCAACAUUCCCUUACAAGACUAUCAUGGAUUUCUCUGCUGAGAUUCCAACCCAGGCACUUUUGCCCAAUUGAAGACUGGUAAACUGAAAGUUACAAUAUGAAGAUGAAAUAUGUCAGGCACAAAAUGAAAUCUUCUAUGCUCUCAUCAUACUUGCAAACCAAAGGUGGCCUCAAUCAGAGAGUAAAACAACAGCUCUACCACUGUGAGGGAAAGAUACAGAAAUAGAGAGAUGGAAAAAAGAAGAAAUUUAUUAAAUCCAGGUUUGAAGACAAGCUGAGCCUAGGAAACAAUCUGUGUUUGCUGUGGAGGAUGAGAGCGGGAGAGGUGAUACAGCCAUGGCCCACUGGAGCACAGAGGAUGGACACCCAGCGUCCUCGCUACAGUUCUCAAGGGAGCAGCAUGUCAAUGGGAAACAGAAGUGGCAUUAGAGCCGCUUGAUCAAGAUGAACCUGAUGAGAGAUCACAUGAUGGUUUGUUUGAAGACAGUGACUGCCAGUCCUACUAUCCUUACACCUGACUGGACAUUCCUCACCUUUGUGCUGGAUCGGGUUUCGGUCCUCACCCCCUCAGACUCUGAGUAACAGCAGAUGGCACAAACCCAUGGGGGAAUGAAGCAGGAAAGACAAGUUCCUGUCAGCAGGUAUUCUAAGGCAGAGCUCCCAGCUCAGGGCAGUCUGCGGCUAUCACUGUGACCCAGUUAGGGGCUGGCCUCGAAGGACUAGCCUUUCUUUAUGCCUUCCUGUUCUGAAACUACAGGCUCCUGAGCACAGCACCUCCUUAGCCAGGCUCACCUUGAAACAGAACAAACUGCCAUUCUGAGAUACGAAUGUAUGCAAACAUUUACUAUUUCACAACCUCUGGAAAAAUCCCCUGUUCUUCCAAGGGCAAUCCUCCUUUCCCAUAGUCAAGUGAAUAUUGAGAUUUUUUAAGUCAUUUUUUUUGUUUGAUUGUACAACUACCCAUUUGCCCCUCCAGCUUUGCUACUUAGGAGAGUGUGCACUUCUGUAGUUAGCAAACAUCAAUGAGUCCUGCAGGCAAGCCAGACUCCGGGAUGGGGUAUUCUAUGAAGAACGGGCUUAUUCCAUAUGAAACUUAACUCAUCUAAGAGCUCAAUUCAAGUUAAUUCCUUUUUCCUCCCCAACAACCAGUGACUGUGGUGUUAAUUCCAAUGUAACAGUUACAAUAGAUCAGUCACAAAGAACCCUGUUAGGGUGAAGGCCACAGUGACCAGUCCCCCAGGGUAACCUCAAGCCUUUUCUUAGUAUUAUGCACAUGGCUUGUCUCAGUAUGUUUUCAGGCACAUUUACCGCACAGUAUUAAAAGCUGUAUUCUUGCUGGGCGUUGGUGGCGCACACCUCUAAUCCCAGCACUCAGGAGGCAGAGGCAGGUGGAUCUCUGUGAGUUGGAGAACAGCCUAGUAAACAGAGAGUUCCAGGAAGGCCUCCAAAGCAAUACAGAGAAACCUUGUCUCUAAAAUAAAUAAAUAAUUAAGUAUUCUUGCUUUUGCCAAACUUCCACAGCAUUCCUAGAAAUACUUUAUAAUUUUGUCUCUAUUCUCUGCCAAGGGUCCAGCUUUACACAUACUAUCAAAGAAUAGUCUUAAUGGUUGUACAAGCAAAACUGACGACAGACCUAAAUGAGUUUUAAGAUUGAGGAUGAACUGACAGCAGCUAUCACGGGACCUGGACUUCUGUUCACGGGUUUCAAUGUUAUUCAGUGAUGUGAGAAAUUUCUCUAUACUGGAUUCUUUUCUGGUGGUUCCGGUUUUGACACAGAUUCUCACUUUGUAGUUCCAACUGGCCUGGAACUCAGAGAUGCUCCUGCCUUUGCCUUCCAAAUGCAGAGAUCAUAGACACAUGCUACCAUGGUACCUGCACUGAAUUCUAUGAAGCUGACAGUUAUAUCAUUGGCAUUAAUAUGAAUUCUCAUCAAUAAAGUUAACCUAAACCCACACAAAUAUACUCAAUGA